CCUACGGGUGGCAGCAGUGGGGAAUAUUGCACAAUGGGGGAAACCCUGAUGCAGCAACGCCGCGUGAGUGAAGAAGUAUUUCGGUAUGUAAAGCUCUAUCAGUAGGGAAGAAGAACGACGGUACCUGACUACGAAGCACCGGCUAACUACGUGCCAGCAGCCGAGGUAAUACGGAGGGGGCAAGCGUUAUCCGGAUUUACUGGGUGUAAGGGGAGCGUAGACGGCUGAGCAGGUCUGAAGUGAAAUCACGUGGCUCAACCGCGGAACUGCUUUGGAAACUGGAUAGCUUGAGUACGGGAGAGGCAGGCGGAAUUCGUAGUGUAGCGGUGAAAUGCGUAGAUAUGAGGAAGAACACCAGUUGCGAAGGCGGCCUGCUGGACAGAAACUGACGUUGAGGCUCGAAAGCGUGGGGAGCGAACAGGAUUAGAUACCCCGGUAGUC
Molecule: ribosomal RNA, 441 nt
Filed under: uncultured bacterium
Lineage: Bacteria
Description: partial 16S ribosomal RNA
Rfam family: Bacterial small subunit ribosomal RNA
Source: RNAcentral